Molecule: ribosomal RNA, 497 nt
Filed under: uncultured bacterium
Lineage: Bacteria
Description: partial 16S ribosomal RNA
Rfam family: Bacterial small subunit ribosomal RNA
Source: RNAcentral
GAUGAACGCUGGCGGCGUGCCUAAUACAUGCAAGUCGAGCGAACGGACGAGAAGCUUGCUUCUCUGAUGUUAGCGGCGGACGGGUGAGUAACACGUGGAUAACCUACCUAUAAGACUGGGAUAACUUCGGGAAACCGGAGCUAAUACCGGAUGAUAUUUUGAACCGCAUGGUUCAAAAGUGAAAGACGGUCUUGCUGUCACUUAUAGAUGGAUCCGCGCUGCAUUAGCUAGUUGGUAAGGUAACGGCUUACCAAGGCAACGAUGCAUAGCCGACCUGAGAGGGUGAUCGGCCACACUGGAACUGAGACACGGUCCAGACUCCUACGGGAGGCAGCAGUAGGGAAUCUUCCGCAAUGGGCGAAAGCCUGACGGAGCAACGCCGCGUGAGUGAUGAAGGUCUUCGGAUCGUAAAACUCUGUUAUUAGGGAGGAACAUAUGUGUAAGUAACUGUGCACAUCUUGACGGUACCUACUCAGAAAGCCACGGCUAACUACGUG